CCUACGGGAGGCAGCAGUGAGGAAUAUUGGUCAAUGGACGCAAGUCUGAACCAGCCAUGCCGCGUGCAGGAAGAAGGCACAAUGAGUUGUAAACUGCUUUUGUACGAGGGUAAACGCAGAUACGCGUAUCUGUCUGAAAGUAUCUUACGAAUAAGCAUCGGCUAACUCCGUGCCAGCAGCCGCGGUAAUACGGAGGAUUCAAGCGUUAUCCGGAUUUAUUGGGUUUAAAGGGUGCGUAGGCGGUCGGAUAAGUUAGAGGUGAAAUCCCGAGGCUCAACUUCGGACUUGACGCUGACACUGGUAGGCUAGAGAGUAGGUGCGGUAGGCGGAAUGUAUGGUGUAGCGGUGAAAUGCUUAGAGAUCAUACAGAACACCGAUUGCGAAGGCAGCUUACCAAGUUACGUCUGACGUUGAGGCACGAAAGCGUGGGGAGCAAACAGGAUUAGAUACCCCGGUAGUC
This 460-nucleotide ribosomal RNA is filed under the name uncultured bacterium. RNAcentral's name for it is "partial 16S ribosomal RNA". It matches the Rfam family "Bacterial small subunit ribosomal RNA", at positions 338 to 795 of the family's 1533-position model. The record is from RNAcentral.